ACCAAUCUCCCUCCUCGCUUAGUCUGCACAUUUAGAAAUACAUGCAGGGCGUGAGUACAUAAUACUCAGUGGGCAAACGCCGAAAAUCAAGAAAGGUGCUCUUAGAGCUAUAGGUUUGAAGCUUGCCACAUCUCAGCAAUACACAGAAAUAAAGUUAGCGUAAAUGAAUCUGUGCAUGCAAUUUUCAUAAUCAUGACAUCAUAAGUAAACGACUGCAGUCAAAGAUCUUAACAUGUAGUACCACAUCUACAACUCAUCAUUAUCAAAGGUACUGAGAAGUAGGCCUCCCUCUCAAGUACCGUGACCGGCCGACCCGAAGACGGCUCGCAGUCACCUCUGUGCACAAAAUCCCGCUUGUGGCAGGACCGAAUUCGUCUCAUCAGUAGAGGGUAACACACAAGCUCAACAUCAAAAAUUGGCAAGUCAAACAGUUCUCAAAUAUCAUUUAACUCAAAUCAUUUGAUAAGCUCAUAACAUCAUUAAAUCAUUUUAGAAAGCUCGUACGAUAAACGUAUACUCAAAAUAUUGCCCACCUGAAGUCCUUCGCUAAUCCUGGAAAGAAAUCAGGCAACUUACUUCUUCGUCUCGCUCGGGCCUUCAUAUGUCAUCAUCACAUCGUCAUCGUCAUCGAAGGUUCAUGUGAUAAAACAAACCUUAGUCAGAAACUCAAUUUCUAAAUCCAAUCUCAUCUUAACUAUAACUUCUCACUCAACGUCUAUUUACCCAUUAAAACUCAAUCCCUAGGUAUACUCGGCUUCUAAGGAUUCACACGUCCUAUUAUCGACUUAACUCUCAACUCGGCUCAAACUCAUAGCAAUCAAGCACAUAGACAAAUAUAAACACUUAAGCAUAUGAAAAACACACAUAGACAAGUCAAAAACAAACUUCACUCUGCACUGACUCAACUUCAAAACCUCACCAGACUCUGUACAGAACUCUCCUGGAGUCGUAAUUUAUACCAAAAGAAACCUCUUUGAGUCUAG
Molecule: long non-coding RNA, 983 nt
Filed under: Salvia miltiorrhiza (redroot sage)
Lineage: Eukaryota; Viridiplantae; Streptophyta; Magnoliopsida; Lamiales; Lamiaceae
Description: long non-coding RNA (SMIL_LNC007963)
Source: RNAcentral